AUCGGAGUCUGCAACCCGACUCCGUGAAGCUGGAUUCGCUAGUAAUCGCGCAUCAGCCAUGGCGCGGUGAAUACGUUCCCGGGCCUUGUACACACCGCCCGUCAAGCCAUGGGAGCCGGGGGUGCUUGAAGUGCGUGACCGCAAGGAUCGACCUAGGGCAAAACCGGUGACUGGGGCUAAGUCGUAACAAGGUACC
This 196-nucleotide ribosomal RNA is filed under the name uncultured bacterium. RNAcentral describes it as "partial 16S ribosomal RNA". It matches the Rfam family "Bacterial small subunit ribosomal RNA", at positions 1297 to 1500 of the family's 1533-position model. The record is from RNAcentral.